Molecule: non-coding RNA, 32 nt
Filed under: Mus musculus (house mouse)
Lineage: Eukaryota; Metazoa; Chordata; Mammalia; Rodentia; Muridae
Source: RNAcentral
UGGGCUAAGGACUGCCCAAAGAAGCCACGAGG